This 460-nucleotide ribosomal RNA is filed under the name uncultured bacterium. RNAcentral describes it as "partial 16S ribosomal RNA". It matches the Rfam family "Bacterial small subunit ribosomal RNA", at positions 338 to 795 of the family's 1533-position model. The record is from RNAcentral.
CCUACGGGUGGCAGCAGUGAGGAAUAUUGGUCAAUGGGCGGAAGCCUGAACCAGCCAAGUCGCGUGAGGGAAUAAGGCCCUACGGGUCGUAAACCUCUUUUGCCGGGGAGCAAGGGCCGGGACGUGUCCCGGCCCGGAGAGUACCCUGAGCAAAAGCAUCGGUUAACUCCGUUCCAGCAGCCGCGGUCAUACGCGGGAUGCGAGCUUUAUCCGGAUUUAUUGGGUUUAAUGGGUGCGUAGGCGGGCUUUUAAGUCAGCGGUAAAAAUUCGGGGCUCAACCCCGUCCGGCCGUUGAAACUGGAGGCCUUGAGUGGGCGAGAGGAAGGCGGAAUGCGUGGUGUAGCGGUGAAAUGCAUAGAUAGCACGAAGAACCCCGAUUGCGAAGGCAGCCUUCCGGCGCCCUACUGACGCUGAGGCACGAAAGUGCGGGGAUCGAACAGGAUUAGAUACCCCGGUAGUC